This 561-nucleotide ribosomal RNA is filed under the name Poecilimon gracilis. Its description in RNAcentral is "SSU rRNA". It matches the Rfam family "Eukaryotic small subunit ribosomal RNA", at positions 720 to 1163 of the family's 1831-position model. Lineage: Eukaryota; Metazoa; Arthropoda; Insecta; Orthoptera; Tettigoniidae. The record is from RNAcentral.
AUGAUUCGUGGGACGUCCUGCCGGUGGUGGCGAGUCGAAGGCGUGCUCCCGUCGUGGUUUCCACUUCGGUUCUUGUGCGCCCGAGGCGGACCCCGAUGAAAUCCUACCGCGGUGCUCUUCACCGAGUGUCGAGGUGGGCCGGCACGUUUACUUUGAACAAAUUAGAGUGCUUAAAGCAGGCCUGUUGCGCCUGAAUACUGUGUGCAUGGAAUAAUGGAAUAGGACCUCGGUUCUAUUUUGUUGGUUUUCGGAACCCGAGGUAAUGAUUAAUAGGGACAGGCGGGGGCAUUCGUAUUGCGACGUUAGAGGUGAAAUUCUUGGAUCGUCGCAAGACGGACCGAAGCGAAAGCAUUUGCCAAGUAUGUUUUCAUUAAUCAAGAACGAAAGUUAGAGGUUCGAAGGCGAUCAGAUACCGCCCUAGUUCUAACCAUAAACGAUGCCAGCUAGCGAUCCGCCGAAGUUCCUCCGAUGACUCGGCGGGCAGCUCCCGGGAAACCAAAGCUUUUGGGUUCCGGGGGAAGUAUGGUUGCAAAGCUGAAACUUAAAGGAAUUGACGGAAGG